CGCGUUCCCUGCAUCGGCAGGCGGACUCUCGACCACUGCGCCACCAGGGAAGCCCGUGGGUUACUUGACUUUUGCUCUCAGCCCCCGUUCCCCGCACUCGUGGCUUUAUCUGAAAGCUGCUCUCACACGGAGGCUCCUGUCCGUUCUCCUUCCACUCGCAGAAUUGUCCUUGUUGCCUUUUAUUUCUAUUUACUCCUGCCAUGGGUUUUCCUCUUCCAAGUCCUGCAGGAACACAACUUUCAGUGCCUGUGAUCUUCCUGGAGUGAAUUGUUUUGGAAUCAGAUACAUGGCUGGUGCCGAGAUCAAAUUUCAGGAGCUGCUAAAACCUCUUCCUAGGUACAGUGGCUGAACCCGCAGGCCUCCGGGCAAUGAUUGGUCCACUCUUAGCCAUCAGGGCUUCCUUUUUUUCCCGACGUGUGUACGUUUGUCUAAAACCUUUCCUUGCUACUGAGUGUACAAAGCAACCUGAAAAUCCAGGCCAGACGGUCCCUACAGGGGAACUUGAACUUUAGAGAGAAAUUGUGGAUGAAUCGACACACCUUCAUCCUGGCUUUGGUGCACUGUUUUUCAGACUGCAGGUCACGACCGGUGAGAAGGGUCUGAGAUGGAUUUGGGUGGAUGCGAUGGGAAUUGUUAAAAACCCAGUGGAUUGUAACAGCAGACGGCGCCACCUGCAGGAAGCAUCGGUGCUGUGUCAGGAAGCUCUGGGUGUGUGUGUGGGGGUGUGUGUGGGCGUGUGUGUGUGUCUGCAUGCCCAUGCGCACACACACAUGUGCUGGUUGUUAAUGGAUACUGUCUGUCAAAGGUGCUAGAGGGUAGCCACCCUGUGGGCGGAGACUUGAAAGAUGCAGAAACUACGACGGGGGAGUUUGGAUGGAAGAUGGUCUUGGUAAGCAAAGCCAUGAGCGGACAUCUGUAAGCCACAGGAAGCUUGCCCGAACGGCCCCCCGUGUCCAUCUCCCGUGGAGGAUUACGGAUCUGGGGACCCCGUCUCCCGGGUUUCCACGUCGAGUCGCCAGUAUUCAGCACCCACGAAGCCUGGUCAGGGGUCCUGUUCCUGGAUCCCAGGAUUCCCGCUCCUACAACUCGAUUUGUGUAACUGUCAGUUUUCUCUCUGGCUCUGUGGCUGGUGCAUGUGUCUUGGGAUGAGAGCGGCGGUGUUGAAAUUAGCAUCCUUUUCCAUCUUGCUAGGUUUCUGUGAUGAUAGGUUUUCGCCUACAUGUUGGCUUAGGCGAAAACAGACUUGCUAAUUGAGGCCAAAAAACAAAGCAAAUGGUAAAAACCCACGGGAGCCAAUGAACUAAAACGGGAUGUUUCCAUAGUAGCAAGAUGUCACCCUAAGGCUGGGAUGGCAUUUCAUCUUCUUAGCGUGUGGUUUCUGCUUGCCUUUACUCUCUCAGCUUUCUUAUCUGUGGGAUAUGCCUUUUUAUAAUUUGUCCAAAUCCUUUCAAAGCUCACACGGGUCAGCCCAGUGGAUAAUAGCUAAGGCUUUACGUAGAUGCACUCAAUACACUGAAAUUAAAAAUUGAGAUGUACCGCAUUUCCGUCUGUGAACCGAAACGCCUAUAGGAGAAAGACCUCCCCGUAAAGGGAAGCAGCUGCAGUCCAUCUGCCCCUUAGAAUGGGGUCGCUUUACAAGGAAACAUUCCUCGCA
Lagenorhynchus albirostris (white-beaked dolphin) is the source of this 1654-nucleotide long non-coding RNA. RefSeq lists it as uncharacterized. NCBI's taxonomy places the organism in Eukaryota, Metazoa, Chordata, Mammalia, Artiodactyla, Delphinidae. The record is from RefSeq and is a predicted model, not a curated record. The transcript is spliced from 3 exons.